RNAcentral lists this transfer RNA (426 nucleotides) under Pseudomonas fluorescens. Its description in RNAcentral is "partial 16S-23S ribosomal RNA intergenic spacer". The stretch from base 29 to 102 matches the Rfam family "tRNA". Lineage: Bacteria; Pseudomonadati; Pseudomonadota; Gammaproteobacteria; Pseudomonadales; Pseudomonadaceae. The record is from RNAcentral.
AGCUUGGAUUCACUGGCGUUAGACGAUUGGGUCUGUAGCUCAGUUGGUUAGAGCGCACCCCUGAUAAGGGUGAGGUCGGCAGUUCGAAUCUGCCCAGACCCACCAAUUGUUGGUGUGCUGCGUGAUCCGAUACGGGGCCAUAGCUCAGCUGGGAGAGCGCCUGCUUUGCACGCAGGAGGUCAGGAGUUCGAUCCUCCUUGGCUCCACCAUCUAAAACAAUCGUCGAAAGCUCAGAAAUGAAUGUUCGUGGAUGAACAUUGAUUUCUGGUCUUUGCACCAGAACUGUUCUUUAAAAAUUCGGGUAUGUGAUAGAAGUAAGACUGAAUGAUCUCUUUCACUGGUGAUCAUUCAAGUCAAGGUAAAAUUUGCGAGUUCAAGCGCGAAUUUUCGGCGAAUGUCGUCUUCACAGUAUAACCAGAUUGCUUG